RNAcentral lists this ribosomal RNA (435 nucleotides) under uncultured Clostridium sp. RNAcentral describes it as "partial 16S ribosomal RNA". It matches the Rfam family "Bacterial small subunit ribosomal RNA", at positions 341 to 792 of the family's 1533-position model. Lineage: Bacteria; Bacillati; Bacillota; Clostridia; Eubacteriales; Clostridiaceae. The record is from RNAcentral.
ACGGAAGGCAGCAGUGGGGAAUAUUGCACAAUGGGGGAAACCCUGAUGUAGCGGCGCCGCGUGAGUGAAGAAGUUAUUCGUAAUGUAAAGCUCUAUCAGCAGGGAAGAAAAUGACGGUACCUGACUAAGAAGCCCCGGCUAACUACGUGCCAGCAGCCGCGGUAAUACGUAGGGGGGCAAGCGUUAUCCGGAUUUACUGGGUGUAAAGGGAGCGUAGACGGCUUUGUAAGUCUGAUGUGAAAGGCAGGGGCUCAACUCCUGGACUGCAUUGGAAACUACAGAGCUUGAGUGCCGGAGAGGUAAGCGGAAUUCCUAGUGUAGCGGUGAAAUGCGUAGAUAUUAGGAGGAACACCAGUGGCGAAGGCGGCUUACUGGACGGUAACUGACGUUGAGGCUCGAAAGCGUGGGGAGCAAACAGGAUUAGAUACCCUGGUA